RNAcentral lists this ribosomal RNA (478 nucleotides) under uncultured bacterium. RNAcentral describes it as "partial 16S ribosomal RNA". It matches the Rfam family "Bacterial small subunit ribosomal RNA", at positions 28 to 523 of the family's 1533-position model. The record is from RNAcentral.
GACGAACGCUGGCGGCGUGCUUAACACAUGCAAGUCGAACGGUAAGGCCCUUCGGGGUACACGAGUGGCGAACGGGUGAGUAACACGUGGGUGAUCUGCCCUGCACUUCGGGAUAAGACUGGGAAACUGGGUCUAAUACCGGAUAGGACUCCUGGCUGCAUGGUUGGGGGUGGAAAGCUUUUGCGGUGUGGGAUGGGUCCGCGGCCUAUCAGCUUGUUGGUGGGGUAAUGGCCUACCAAGGCGACGACGGGUAGCCGGCCUGAGAGGGUGACCGGUCACACUGGGACUGAGAUACGGCCCAGACUCCUACGGGAGGCAGCAGUGGGGAAUAUUGCACAAUGGGCGCAAGCCUGAUGCAGCGACGCCGCGUGAGGGAUGACGGCCUUCGGGUUGUAAACCUCUUUCAGCUAUGACGAAGCGCAAGUGACGGUAGUAGCAGAAGAAGGACCGGCCAACUACGUGCCAGCCGCCGCAGUAA